This is an unclassified non-coding RNA of Callithrix jacchus (white-tufted-ear marmoset), 148 nucleotides long. It matches the Rfam family "Metazoan signal recognition particle RNA". From Rfam's summary of the family: The signal recognition particle (SRP) is a universally conserved ribonucleoprotein. The record is from Ensembl. Lineage: Eukaryota; Metazoa; Chordata; Mammalia; Primates; Cebidae.
GCUGGACAUGGUGGUGCACAUCUGUAUUCCCAACUACUUGGGAGGCUGAGGCAGGAGAAUCGCUUGAACCCAGGAGUUAGAGGUUGCAGUGAGCUGAGAUUGUGCCACUGCACUCCAGCCUGGGUGACAAAGCGAGAUUCUGUCUCCA